GACGAGGUGGCCGAGUGGUUAAGGCAAUAGAUUGCUAAUCUGUUACACACUGCAUACGUGGGUUCGAAUCCCACCCUCAUCA
RNAcentral lists this transfer RNA (82 nucleotides) under Procavia capensis (Cape rock hyrax). Its description in RNAcentral is "tRNA-Ser (GCT) (tRNA-Ser-GCT-13-1)". It matches the Rfam family "tRNA". Rfam says of the family: Transfer RNA (tRNA) molecules are approximately 80 nucleotides in length. Lineage: Eukaryota; Metazoa; Chordata; Mammalia; Hyracoidea; Procaviidae. The record is from RNAcentral.